Molecule: unclassified non-coding RNA, 351 nt
Filed under: Hevea brasiliensis (rubber tree)
Lineage: Eukaryota; Viridiplantae; Streptophyta; Magnoliopsida; Malpighiales; Euphorbiaceae
Source: RNAcentral
AGAUUUGAUACAAAAGGGUAACCUGGAAAUAUGGUCCAUUAAUUUCUGAUCAGUUUAAUGUGGCUAACACUUCGCAGCGGAGGUGGAUUCAUCAUGCUAGCAGGAUUGGGGGUUGCCAUUCGUCCGCCUUCUUCAAUGACACGAAACAUGGUAACUUUGAGCACAAUUUCUCUCAUUCUAAGAAGCUCAAACACACAAACGUCACCCUCCCCUAGAUUAUUUUCCAGGCAGAACUCAUACCAUCCCUGACUUAACUUCGCUCUACCAACUUUAUAAAGACAUCGGACUGGCCACUGUCUCCCGUCAGGUGUCUGAAGUUUGAUGAAUCCUGAAACCCCACUUAGAUUCUUU